CUCUGAUUUGCCGGAGCUGUAAUGUGGAACCGUAUUUCAACAUUUUCUGUGAAACCAUUCUAGCCGUACUGAGCUUGGCUGAAGGCUCCCACAGCCUCAGCACAGAAUGGAUUGGCCCUAAUUCUGUCCUGCAGAACUAGUGAUUGAGUAUCCCUAACGAAAGGGCUGGAAGAUCUGCAGAUCCCAUCUUGAGCUGUGAACUCCUCAGGCUGGAGGAGAUGGAUAUCCACAUCUGGAAGUGGCAGUAGCACAUCUGGACAGGGUCAUGGAGACUCGGCAAUUCCUGGGGGCUGUCAAACUGAUUACACGCAGCAAACCAGCCGGUGUGCCUCUGCCUGCUGCUUAGAGUAAGCACUGAUAUGUCAGUCAGACUUUACUAUCAAGUACGAGCUUAUGUGCGCUUCAAGUGUUGUUCAGCCUUCAACUCCUUGGUGUAUUCAGUCAUUUAAAAACUUUCAUACACUCUAAAAAAAAAUGUUGUCUUGCACUGCACUGCCAGGGGGAUCUUUGUUUCAAAUACAGAGCGUCAGCCUGCAAAGCUUCUGUGGAAGACCAGGCUCCCAGUGUUAAAAUGAUCCUUGUUUUCUAUUUCUAUACAAUAAUUUCUGUGAGAUUCUUCUGGAUGGAGGGCUAUAAAAACGUUAAGCUGCUAUUCAUCACGCUGACUUGCAUGAUUUUAUGUGUGCCCAUUCUGUAUAGCAGGAAUACUUAGUGGGAAAUUUAUUCUUCGCUUUUUCACACACCAUUACAUUGUAUUUGUGAGGAUUUAGCACGUUUUCUGGCUUCGCUCACCAAAUCAAGGGUCCACGUUUAAUAGGUACAGCUGAUGUUACAAAAACUAGGCACAAUUA
This 851-nucleotide long non-coding RNA is filed under the name Gallus gallus (chicken). RNAcentral's name for it is "lncRNA (ENSGALG00010029101.1)". Lineage: Eukaryota; Metazoa; Chordata; Aves; Galliformes; Phasianidae. The record is from RNAcentral.